RNAcentral lists this ribosomal RNA (493 nucleotides) under uncultured bacterium. Its description in RNAcentral is "bacterial SSU rRNA". It matches the Rfam family "Bacterial small subunit ribosomal RNA", at positions 903 to 1397 of the family's 1533-position model. The record is from RNAcentral.
AAAUGAAUUGACGGGGGCCCGCACAAGCGGCGGAGCAUGCGGCUUAAUUCGAUGCAACGCGAAGAACCUUACCUGGGCUUGACAUAUGGGGAAAUCCGGUAGAGAUACCGGGUCCGCAAGGGCCUCAUACAGGUGGUGCAUGGCUGUCGUCAGCUCGUGUCGUGAGAUGUUGGGUUAAGUCCCGCAACGAGCGCAACCCUCGUCCUAUGUUGCCAGCGAGUAAUGUCGGGGACUCAUAGGAGACUGCCGGGGUCAACUCGGAGGAAGGUGGGGAUGACGUCAAGUCAUCAUGCCCCUUAUGUCCAGGGCUGCACGCAUGCUACAAUGGCCGGUACAAAGGGCUGCGAUACCGUAAGGUGGAGCGAAUCCCAAAAAGCCGGUCUCAGUUCGGAUUGGGGUCUGCAACUCGACCCCAUGAAGUCGGAGUCGCUAGUAAUCGCAGAUCAGCAACGCUGCGGUGAAUACGUUCCCGGGCCUUGUACACACCGCCCGU